RNAcentral lists this ribosomal RNA (350 nucleotides) under Moritella sp. PE36. RNAcentral describes it as "bacterial SSU rRNA". It matches the Rfam family "Bacterial small subunit ribosomal RNA", at positions 1 to 347 of the family's 1533-position model. The record is from RNAcentral. Lineage: Bacteria; Pseudomonadati; Pseudomonadota; Gammaproteobacteria; Alteromonadales; Moritellaceae.
AAUUGAAGAGUUUGAUCAUGGCUCAGAUUGAACGCUGGCGGUAGGCUUAACACAUGCAAGUCGAGCGGAAACGAAGAAUAGCUUGCUAUUCUGGCGUCGAGCGGCGGACGGGUGAGUAAUGCUUGGGAAUCUGCCUAGUCGAGGGGGACAACAGUUGGAAACGACUGCUAAUACCGCAUACGACCUACGGGUGAAAGGGGGCCUCUUCUUGAAAGCUCUCGCGACUAGAUGAGCCCAAGUGGGAUUAGCUUGUUGGUGAGGUAAGAGCUCACCAAGGCGACGAUCCCUAGCUGGUCUGAGAGGAUGAUCAGCCACACUGGAACUGAGACACGGUCCAGACUCCUACGGAG